Molecule: long non-coding RNA, 9216 nt
Filed under: Gallus gallus (chicken)
Lineage: Eukaryota; Metazoa; Chordata; Aves; Galliformes; Phasianidae
Source: RNAcentral
UAUAGCCAGAGGAGAUUUUGCAUUAUAUCUGCUUGAUUUAAAGCAAACUUACCAUUAUGGUUUGUAUAAACCUAAAAUAUACUCAAUCGCAUGCAUAUGGAUGUAGCUCUUGGAAACAUAGGUACUACAUUGGAUAACCAAGAAGUAUUUUCAAUGAGAUUAUAUAUUUAUUUGCAUAUACUGGAAAAAGAAAAACCUAUGGUCAUUCUAUGAAAACAUACUGUGAAUUUUAAAUGCUCCUACCCACUUUUUGUUUUGAUUCUCUGUGUAGACUUGCAGUGAGCCUCCAGACCUUUGCUGAAGAGCAAAUUUGCAAACUUAUUUAUAUGUGUUAGCAACAUCACCAUCAUAAAUUGCUGAAGCCAUCGAAAAACAAUAAACGGAACCUGCUUCAAGAGGAACUAGUGCCUCUCAUUGGUAUUACCUCUUUCAAGAUGACAGGAGACCUCAAGAGGCCCAAGAGUUCUUCGUUGUAUCCUUCAAUGGACUUUGGUAAACCACUUGUUGAACCUUAUUCACUUACAGCCUCCAUGAAAUUCAAAGGUAGAUUAGAGCAAUUCCAAUUUCUGAGAAAACAAGGUUUGAUAUUAUGGUUUUGUGAAAUCUUAUGGAGAUGAACCAAAUCCAGAGAUGUCAGUCCACAUCUGACUUCCCCAAAGUUCAAAGAGACACUCAGAUCCACUGCCUAGAACCCAUCGGCUCAAAAUCCAGGCUGGUCUUUUAUUCAUCUCACACCCCAUAAAUGUAAGCCACAGCGGCAAUUUCAAUGUACUCAAGUUAUGUAUAAUUGGUUCCUAAAGCUGCCUGCCACUGAAAACAAGCAUAUUAAAUUCAGACUUACAAAAUUCCUUAUGUCCGAUACCCAUUUACAUGUGUUGUUUUUGUGUGUUUUUCAAUUUUUUUUUCUCCCUUAGAAACAGCGCUGAGGUUGGUUCCCAUUCCAGCAUGACUAAUAAAGAAAAAACAUUUUAAAAGUCCAGAUCAUUAAGCUGUCAGGAAAUCUAUAAGAGGCAUCUCUUCUUGUAGACCAGAUUUAAGAAGAAUUAAAACUGAAACCUUCAUAAUGACUUUUUAAGUCUUUGAGUAUUUAGGAAAAAAAAAAAAGAGAAGUAAAAAAAGUGUGCAGGGAAGAAGUCUUCUUAGGCACUGGCAUGAAAAUCAAUAUUUUUGGUGUCACUAUGUACAGUACUGUAGCUAUCAAAAAAGUAAUAGUAGAGGAUAUUAAAACUACGAGGAAACCUUAUCAUCACAAAUGCUGUACAUGUUUUGUAAAAGAUGUAUUAAUCUCAUCUCACAGGAGCUGUCAGUGUUACAACUAACCCUGGAGCUGUAAAACGAGCUGUAAAAUGGAUUUUAUUCCAGAAUAUUACAAGUUCUGUCAUUAUAGAGAAGAUUAACGACACAGCCUGAUGGAGGUCUACUGCUCUUAGAGAUGCUAGAAUGUCUAAGACAAGAAACGGCUUUGUAAUUAUAACUGUCUUAGUGGAAAUAAAAGGGCAAAAAGGGAGCAUGUUGAAAUAAUUAUGAGCAAUAGAGAAAUGAGUGCUUUAAGCAAGGUAGUAGCUAGAUAAUUUAAUGGGGACAGGUUACAGAAAGGGUUACAUCCAAAGUAACUUAGCAGCUUUAAUGCUGAGAUAAAGUUAUAAUGUACUGCUAUCCAGCUGUGUGAUAAGCUAGAACAUUGCAUCGUCUGCGAGAUUUCUCUCAGAGCUCUUAGCAUUUUUGUACAGGAUCGUGUAUAUGUUCUGUUGUCAUCUGUGCUUUUGGGAUGUAAAUUUUAAUGUACUGAUGUGAAGACAAUGCCUAGAUUUGGGAAGAAAUAUUAUUUUCUGCCCAUUUUCUUUGCAGGCUGAAGCCUAGCGUGUGAUUUGCAUAUACAGCACUUCCUGCUUAUUUGAAUUGUUUUUUCUCAGAUGUCAAUUUCUUCAAUUUUCAACCAAGUGGCAAAGUGAGUACCUAGCUAUUCUUUCACUUACAAUUGCGUAAGUCAGGAAUGCAGGUCUGGAAAUCAGUUUGAGCAGUCAGCAAAUGAGAUUGGACACCAUAUUGCCAGCCUUAGACCCUCACCCCCAAAAUGGAUGAGAAUUUUUCCUUUGCAGCAAUGCUGCAAAUCAGUAGAAAGUGUAGAAAAUACUUUUUUUUUUCUAUUCUUUGUUGUUUGAAAUUGCAAGACAAACUUCACAGUCUUGAGCUGUCAGUGCAUUUCUUCUCUUUGUUUUUUCAGCCUUGUCUCUUCAGCUCCUGUUAGGGUGGUACAUUGGAAGAGAGAGCAGAGAAUGAAGCAGCGUAGAACUCUGCUAUUAAUAAACCAGUGCUACAACUUAAUGAAGUUUGUGUGUAUUUUAACAGAGUUUCAGUUUUUCAUUUGCUUUAUACCAAAAAGACAGGCAGAAGUAGGAUUAAGCACAGAAUGCUGUAUUAUCUCUGUUUAACCAUACAACUGACAUUCAUGUGUUAGUCUUCUUCCUCCAAUUACAGUUCUUCUCCUGUCUUCAGAAAAAAAAAAAAAGAAAAAAAAAGUCUUGAUAAAAUGAAACUGAUCUUGAAAUCAGUUGAAUGAAUGAAUGAAAUGAAUGAAGCAGCAUUUUCUGAAGAAGUAGAGGGUUCUUUUGCUGGCUUUUUCCUUGUGCUGUACUCACUUGGGAUUAUGUCAGUAAAAUUGGUGGGCUAAUGUGGUUCAUUGUCUUCAUAUCCAUGGAUGCUUACACAGAAGUUAUGAGUAAGGAAACUACAAGUGUGUGUUAGGACUGAAAAAGAUAUAAGCCCUAAAUCUGACAGAGUCAGGUUCAAUGAUGCAGCGUGGUUUUGGUUUUGAAGGUGAAUGUCACAGUGUAAACACACUCCCACUUCAAGAUAAACAAAUUGUAAUGGAGAAUGCUGAAGAGGAGUUUCUCACCAGGGGACAGGUUGGUGUGUUUUCUGUUACAAAGUAUGUCUUUUAGAAUUCUGUUUUCUUUUUUUCUGUGACUAUGCACAAUAAACUGAUUUUUCUUUUAGUCUUUAGAAAUCUAGAGAAGCCGUUGGUUGUUACGCAAAAGAAAAAUAUCAGUACAACAGUUGUCAGGUGUUUUACAAAAAUGCAAACUAACAUCAGAACAAGCGAAAAAAGAAACCCACAAAAAUCUUACUGCCAUACAGCCUAGUAUCUUUCUGUAAUAGAGCCUUAAUCCAGAUGGUAGAGCUGCCUGUGGAAGAAGUGUGCCCAACAUCUAUGUGCUUGAGUGCACACUGGACAUGUUUGGGAAGAGAUGAAAGGUAGACUGCUUCCUGCUUGUCUGCCUUCCCAGUUCUACGUAAGCAAUACAUGAGGACAAGAGAGAGACAAUAUUGGGGUGAAGCUGCAUCACAAAAAAAGUGAAUACUGGGAAUAGUUAACGUUGUUUUUGCUGUCCCUUUUUCCCACACUCCAUUCAGGCUGGUAUCUCGUAACAGGGCUAUGAUCUCUAAAGGCUUGCAGUCACUGCAUCUGAGUCCAGCUUUCCAAUCUGUACUGGUGUUAACAGGGAUCACACAGCUUAAGAGCCAAGGCAGUAUUCUAGAAGUGAAGGAGUGUCGUAUUGCUGAGUGCAUCACUUGCCAGUUCUGAGCAGUAAGUUAUUAUACAUUUAAUUAGUAGCUGUGACACUGUUGCUGCUGGAACUGGAAUUAGGAUGACAAAUUCAGUCAUAUUUGUUGAUCUACCAGACCCAUGGGCAGAAGGAAAGAAAAUGCAACAUCUAAAUAUCAAAAAGAAAACAAGGGAAUUAAUGAGAUACCUGGGAAUUAUUCCCACACAAUUUCUAAUAAAACACCAAAUUGUUUUCUGUAGUGAAAUAAAUCCUUCUCUAACCUCAAAUUCAUAGUUCCUUAUGUUAAUGCAAAUAAUUGUCAUUAAUAUGGCUAAGAAGACAGUAGGUUGCCUUUUGCGUUUUUUUGUUUGUUUUUGUUUUUCUUGGGGGAAGGAAUAUUUCUAUUUGGGACAAGAAAUGAAUAGUGUGUCUGUCAUGACAUGAAUGAAAGACAGGAGAAUAAAGUUCCCUGAAAUUGUAGAACUGUAGGUCUUAAUCAGACUGCUGAAUACUCCCAAAUCCAUUCCUCUUGUGAGAUGUUCCAACAAAUAUUAGUAUGCACCUAGGGUUUUUCAGAUACAGCGAAAACACCAAUGCUGCCCUGCUGCGGUAAUUUACAGAGAGUAUAUUGUGUAAUGGACUUUGAUUAAGUACACACCUAAUUCCCUCCCUGUGAUGGACUGUGAUCUGAUCUACAUUCAUAAUCCUUUUGUAAUGCAGUGUGCGGUUGCUGAAGGUUAAUUGAUAGCAAUUGACUAAUAACGUAUUUCACUAUUGGAAACAGGUGGCACUCAUUUGUAACAAAUAUGGUACAGAAGAAUCUGAAAACAGGUUUCUUACUGCAGAUAUGUAAAUUAAAGUGUAAGUUCAGAUGCAACUUGUUAUCAUGAGGAGAGACAAAGCACCUUCAGAAAUCAAGGUCUUAUCCUGCAGACAUUUUUGAAGCACUGGUUAUGUAAAGGACAAUGUUGUCUGAGAAAAAAAAUUCCCACUAGGGACCACUGAAAUUGAUAAAAGUUAUGGGGACUACCUUAAAAAUUGGUAUUAAAGAGCUGAAAUGGAACUGGGUUAUGUAUGAAUCACAUUGAUUAACUGUUCUGUUUCUUUCUGUCCCAGCUACCCUGUCAGUGUGCUGCCAGUGCAAACUGUAGGAUUAUCAGUGUCUCCAUGAUGAGCAAGCCAAGUCUGACACUUGGUUUGCUGUAACCAAGCGAGCGAUGUUUAAAACAACCGUAGCUAAAAUACAAUGAACACAUAAUUGUAUCUGAUCACCCUCAGCAUUAGUGUCUUAGCCCUCUGCUUAAUGUUUUAAGCUGCAAUGUUUGUUUUAGAAUCAGGUGAGCAAUUAGUCUGAGCACGUAAUUAAGGUAGCAAAGUGAUUUGCAUGUGCUAGCCAAAUUACUUGAAACCCUUAGUGCUUUUAUUCAUUGGAUCAAUGUUUGGUGUUGGAUAAUUAUAUGGAUAUACUUCUCUUUUUGAUAGCAUGUCCUCAAGCUCCUUAUAUUCUUGUUUUCAUGGUGCUUAGUAUCUUUGACUCUACUUAACAUAGCUUUAUGCUACUGUUUAGAGGUGACUUUAAAUUAGUCAAUAGUCCCUUGAAUAUUAGAAAUAUUUGGCAUAAACUUCAGUAUUCCAUAUACAUUUAAGACUGAUUAAUUCAUAAUUUGUGACUGUAAGCAGCUUUGAUUUUUAAAACCAAGUAAUAGUAAUCUGAAUAAUUUCAUAUUUUAUUUCUAAUUAUAGCUGAGUCAAAAGAACAUAUCUCUGUACAAGACGAGAUACAUAUUAAGGGAUGGAGACCAAUCAAGCACUUUUUUUACAUUUGUGAACUUUUUGUUACUCUUUCAGAGGACCUCAUGGGCUACUUCCUGAAAAUAGGAAAAAAUUCUUCUUCCUGAAAAUUCUCUGUAAAAAAUUUUUAAAGUUUCAUCUCUCCGUGUAAGACACAAAAUCUAAUUUUCAUGGGAGAAUAGUCAGCCACAUUUCAGCUGUGGUACAAAGAUGGCUAUUUGUGUUGGGGGCAGUUUGGGCUUACAUGUUGGGAAGGAAGAAGAUAAAAUCACUGAGGAUCAGUAUCUACUCAUAGGCAAUGCAGUGCAGACUGGCAGGAACUCUUCAUAGUGUGCUUUGGUGUAAUGGUUGUUUAAUACAGAAGAUUGUGGUACUGCUGCCUCUCCUCUCAUCCCAUUGCUGGCCCAGGAUUUCUAAAGGCUGCAGUACCUUUCCUGGCAUCAGAACUGAUGCCUUAGCUGAAAAUAGAGGUAUGGGAAAAGAUUCUUGUAUUAAAUCCCCAACACAAAAGCAAUUGCAUCACAGAUAGAGAUCUCUCAAAUAUAUUAUUCAUGGACUAAUUAAGCUGUGACCUGGAAUUAGCAUGUGGAGGACUGAAAUACAUCACGUGCUGUAUACUAUCCAUGAGUGGUAUACAAGGGUUUACUAACAGAGCACCAUGUUAAUCUUAUUAAUUCAUACCUUGCUUAACUACGGGAAGGGACUUCAAUCCAGAACCUGAUACAGCUCCAGCAAAAUGCACAUCUAUAUCUUGUAAGUAUCUUAUGAUCUCUGUGAUGUUAAGAUUUAUACAGUUCAUAUUUACUUUUCUUUUAACAACAUUGGCAUCUGAAUAAUAGAUAUUUGAACUUUAUGACUAGGACAUCUAGAAUACUUCAUGUCUUGGAGAACCAGGUAAUACCUAAGAUUUAGAGUUCUCAGCAGGAAAAUGUGCAACCUUGGUGUACAACAGGCAACUUUACUGUAAUGCUGUUACUGUUGUGUCAAAGGCUUUUUGAUUAGAAUACUAUUGGGAGUGAUGGUCAUUGCAGAUCCAUUGCACUAGCGUAGACGCCACUGCAUCCACGUAGUUGCUGCAAGCACAGAAUUUUGUUCUGUCUGCACACACAGCUUUAGUCACAAGAGCAUAUCGUUUUCCUCCCCACAGACUGGGGAGAUAACAGCAUGAUGGGAGCCAGAGCAUGGGAAGAGAGAGAUGACCGUGUUUGUCUGCUCCCUGCAGAUAUCUCAGAAACACUCCUCAGAUGGAGCUACACCAGUGUCAUGGAUGUGGAUGAAACCGAUUCCUCUUCACUUAUAUAAAUGGAUUGUGAUGAACAGAUGAAAUGUUACACAUUUUCCAAUGGAGGUUUCCAAGAUUGACAUACAUUACCUGAAAUUCCCAAUGUUACACGAACAUCACCUUUUACAUGAUUUGGAUUAAGAACACACCAAUCUGCUUCAGUUUUCUGAAAAGCAUAACACUUCUUAUCCUCCACAUUCAUGUGAGAAGAGUUAUCAAAUGAGGUCUGAUUUAAUUAAAAGUAGGUAUAAUCUCCACAAACAUAUGAGAGCCAGUCAGAAAAAAAGGUAAGUCUUUGGGGGAAUAUUUUGUAUAUAAGUUAAUGGCAACAUUAGCAGAGAUAAUUUUUGCUUUGUGGCAUCUGCACGUUUGGAUUCACAAGGGAAUUUCUGCCUACUUGGGAUUUUACAUAUCUAUCAGCUAUUGUGAAUCUGAGAAGCCCAUGGAAACAUUAUAUGACUGUGACACGCACCCUUGAGGGUUUUGAACUGAUAAAGUAAUUCAUGCAUUAUAAUCAGGGAUAAACAUUUCCUUCAAAAUGGAACCCCAGGAAUCUUCCCCUACCUCAGGAGCUGAACCAGAUUUGAAAGAUACAUGAGGUUAUGAAACAUUUCCUUGUGAACUUUUUUACCUCCAGAAGGUGACAGGAGCUUUAAUUUUCCCCCUGUCCCUAGCCCACGUGUUCCUAACAGUCAAAACACUCCACAGGCCAAGCUGCUGGGAGCAGAGGUGGUAGCUGUGGCUAGCACAAGCAGAAGACAAGUUCCAGUCUUCUGGAUCCCACUUGAGCAGCCCAGCAAAAUGAGUCAGCUGCACAGUGCUGACCCUCCCCUCAUGCUGAUUUGGAACUGGAAGUUUCUCCAGCACUCCUGUGUUGCAUAGGAUAAGGUCCCCUCUUCAUAGUCUCCUCCAACCAAGCUGCAGGAACAGAUAACAAGAGUGCUGCUACUGAUCUCUGGCAACUGUGCAGGGAAAAGAAUGUAUUCAGCAGAGAUGUUCUUCCUGCCUACAGGAAAAACAUUUAUACAAAAAAACAUCCCUACUACAACAAAAAGUAAACAGAGUGAUAACAUUAAGAGAGGUUAAUGAGAACAGCCCUCCAUGGUGCUUCCCAGUUUUUUAUGCUAUGCAAAAUACCACCAGUUAAACAGGACGUGAGCAAGCAAUCUUAGCUCCACAUCCUAACAUAUGUGGUGGAGCACGGCAGGCCUGUAACCUUUCCAUGGCUUAUUGCAUCUCCCACUUUGCACUACCACUUUAUUUCUUUAUAAGAAACAAGAGUGUUUGGGUACAUAAUUUGUUAGGUGAAAGAGGGGCUGAGAAGUCAAUGUUUGAUGCCAGGCAUGUGAUGAGCAGGUGUUUGCUUUCACUUCAGGGAGCCAGCCUGAAUGGCAAAACCUCUUACAAUGCACUGACUGCGGGUGCCUCCUGGGCAAAGGCAGCAGAGCUACACAGGAACUGCACCCUGGGUGUCACAGGUCACUCUGUUAUACUCAGCAAGGAGGGCUUGGCCAGGAGGAUGGAAGCUGGAGGGGAAGGAGUGAACGGUUUCCAAAACUGAGUGUGUGUGAACUCUUUCUGCCCUGCUGCUGUUCUUGUUUCUGUUGGCAGAGAGGAGAGGUGGAAGGAGGCACAACAAAGCCUGCUGCUUCCCCCUGCAUCUCCAGCACUGCUCUUAUAUGAAACUUCCCACUCUUCACGCUAUAGAAAAGAGUCUGAAAAGGGGCAGGAAAAUCAACCACAGUCACCUCAAGAGCACACCAGUCUUCCUGCUGUAUGGAGGAGCCUCUUUUGCCUGGGAUCAUGCAGGCAUGGCAAUACGUGCUGAGGUGUGAAUUUAGUGCUAUAUUGUCUGCAAGCUACUACAAGACACAUACUUGUAUGGAUGUACCCUGGGACUUCCAAAGGCCAUGCUGUUCCAGAUGUGCCCCUUGACCAGCCUGUAGCUCCCUGUUUGGACAAGGCUCAGAAGCUCAUGGCUUUUCCCUUCCCUGUUUCCAUGGGAAGAAAACCAGGUUGUGAAACUUGAAGAUGUGACUAAAGGGAAAGAGAGCUGAGGCUGGAAAUGUCUGAUGUGGAAGACCAAGUGCAAUGUAAGACCCUCUAUCUCCUGAGAGCAUCUGUCCUUCUCCCAUGAAGAAAAGGUACAUGAGGCAUUCAUAGAGAAAAGAGAAUGACAACAUGCAAGGAGGAGGCUGGCACUCUGACUGCUCAUAAAGAUGGCCAUGCAGUAAAAGUACCUGAUCAGAAUCAAAUGCAGCAUUGGUUUAUGAUGGCAUUCCUCCAGGCAGCAUCGGGCUACUUGCAAUCACUGAACUUCUUCUAUGGUGUGAAUGGGAUGUGUAGAUACUGCUCUGUCAGACAAUCUCCACACGCUGCAACUCUGAAAUUGAAAAAUAAAUAAAUCUGAAAUUCAGCACCAGUGCCAUGUGAACACGUAAGUACGUUUUCAUAAAAACAGAGGAUCCCUGGAUGUGACCAUGGCAUCAGGCUGCUCUUUGUGCCACCCAAAUUUUGGGUGUCUCCUACCUGUGUGCUGGUGUGUGACUGUUUGCAUUUCUCUGUUUUAAAUCCGAGUGCUUUCACACUGCUGAU